CCCUUAGAUGUUCUGGGCCGCACGCGCGCUACACUGACGAAGUCAGCGAGCAUGUCCUACGCCGACAGGUGCGGGGAAUCUUGUCAAACUUCGUCGUGAUGGGGAUUGAUUAUUGAAAUUCUUGAUCAUCAACGAGGAAUUCCUAGUAAGCGCAAGUCAGCAGCUUGCGUUGAUUACGUCCCUGCCCUUUGUACACACCGCCCGUCGCUACUACCGAUUGGAUGGUUUAGUGAGAUCUUCGGAUUGGCGCCACUGCGGCUCAGCAAUGGGCUCGGUGGAUGCCGAAAAGUUGAUCAAACUUGAUCAUUUAGAGGAAGUAAAAGUCGUAACA
Molecule: ribosomal RNA, 331 nt
Filed under: uncultured eukaryote
Lineage: Eukaryota
Description: partial 18S ribosomal RNA
Rfam family: Eukaryotic small subunit ribosomal RNA
Source: RNAcentral